CCGCCCUGGGUUAGUCGGGACCUAAGCUGAGGCCGAAAGGCGUAGGUGAUGGACAACAGGUUGAUAUUCCUGUACUACCGAUAACCGUUUGAGAGAAGGGAUGACACAGUAGGAUAAGCUAAGCACACUGUUGGUUAUGUGUGCCCAAGCAUUGAGGCAGUCAAAGUAGGCAAAUCCGCUUUGAUAAUGCUGGGAUGUGAUGGGGAGCGAAAUUUAGUAGCGAAGUAGCUGAUUUCACACUGUCAAGAAAAGUCUCUAUCGAGGUUAAAGGUACCCGUACCGCAAACCGACACAGGUGGGUGAGGAGAGUAUCCUAAGGCCAGCGAGAGAACUGUUGUUAAGGAACUCGGCAAAAUGACCCCGUAACUUAGGGAUAAGGGGUGCCACCAUCAGGUGGCCGCAGAGAAUAGGCCCAAGCGACUGUUUACCAAAAACAUAGGUUUCUGCUAAGUCGCAAGACGAUGUAUAGGAGCUGACGCCUGCCCGGUGCUGGAAGGUUAAGGGGAUCUGUUAGAG
Molecule: ribosomal RNA, 516 nt
Filed under: Clostridioides difficile
Lineage: Bacteria; Bacillati; Bacillota; Clostridia; Peptostreptococcales; Peptostreptococcaceae
Description: bacterial LSU rRNA
Rfam family: Bacterial large subunit ribosomal RNA
Source: RNAcentral